Molecule: ribosomal RNA, 253 nt
Filed under: uncultured bacterium
Lineage: Bacteria
Description: partial 16S ribosomal RNA
Rfam family: Bacterial small subunit ribosomal RNA
Source: RNAcentral
UACGGAGGGUGCAAGCGUUAUUCGGAAUCAUUGGGCGUAAAGCGCGCGUAGGCGGUGGGGCAAGUCUGGUGUGAAAGCCCGGGGCUUAACCUCGGAAGGGCAUUGGAAACUGCCUCACUUGAGUGCCGGAGAGGAAGGGGGAAUUCCCGGUGUAGCGGUGAAAUGCGUGGAUAUCGGGAGGAAUACCAGUGGCGAAGGCGUCCUUCUGGACGGCAACUGACGCUGAUGCGCGAAAGCGUGGGGAGCAAACAGG